CUACGGAGGGUGCAAGCGUUACUCGGAAUCACUGGGCGUAAAGCGCGCGCAGGCGGCUACUUAAGUUGGAUGUGAAAGCCUACGGCUCAACCGUAGAACUGCAUCCAAAACUAUUUAGCUAGAGUGUGAGAGAGGAAGAUGGAAUUAGUUGUGUAGGGGUAAAAUCCGUAGAGAUAACUAGGAAUACCAAAAGCGAAGGCAAUCUUCUGGAACACUACUGACGCUGAGGCGCGAAAGCGUGGGGAGCAAACAGAAUUAGAUACCCUAGUAGUCC
RNAcentral lists this ribosomal RNA (274 nucleotides) under uncultured bacterium. RNAcentral's name for it is "partial 16S ribosomal RNA". It matches the Rfam family "Bacterial small subunit ribosomal RNA", at positions 523 to 796 of the family's 1533-position model. The record is from RNAcentral.